GUUUCUUGCAAAUUGGCUAAUAAACUUAGCUAAUGUCUCGAGCCAGACAAAUUGUCGUAUCCUAGAAUUACUUGAAAAAAACAAAAGUGUUUCUUCGAGUUUUAUGAAAAUGAGUACAUGUUAUGCAAAUAUUAGAAGCGUGAAAAAGCGUGGUAUCGUACGUGUAAUCGAGGUAGGCGAACCAACGAGAGAAAAUCCAGGGAAAGCUCGGGACUAUGUGCCGUGGACUAAAGCGAUACCAGCGAUAAAAAUUGUAAUUAAUCACUCGUUACGUGUCCUGAGCACGCGCGAGCUCGCUCGCUAUGAGCAUAAAUUAUCGUUGGCAUGGCGAUUUAAGCCGGCUUAAUAGGUACUCGAUAAAAAAUGUGAUCCCAUUGCCUUCUACUACUUUCUCUACUAUGUUCAGUAUCGAAAGUUAGAAAGAAGGAGGUAAGCUUUAAAAAAAAUUUAUAUUCAAAAACGUUAUAUUAGAUGCCGGUAUAUGCUUUUUCUAUCAAAAUGGUAGCAAACUAUUUGUCAUUAAAUUCAGGAUUUUUUUCUUUUUUCUUCUAAUACACACACACACACACACACAGGUAUAUAUAUUUCGAUCGAUCUAAUCGUAAAUAAACGUCGGCGAUACGAUCAGCUAUUUCAUUCAUAUCGAAGAUGGGCAAUUUUUCAUUGGUCAGUUUUCAAAGAGCAUGGAAUCUCGUCGAAAUAUUAUUAAUUGGUAUAUUCGCAUUUCGAUUGGAAAGAGAGACGUGAUCAUUUUUUGUUUCAUUGAAAUUCCCAUUGCUGUGAUUUUAAAUCUGGUUGAGCUGCGUGUAAAUGCUUGGAAUCCAUGCGUGGAAAAUGUCAGUCUGUAUUUACCGAUUCGAAUGCACUAGUUAACUUCUGUCUCUCUCUCUCUCUCUCUCUUUAUAUUUUCCAGAAGGUCGUGGCAAGCUCUAUAUCUCUUUUAAAUACUCUCCAUUGAAAUCUUGCAUCGCCUCCGGGGAAUACUAGUUGAAUAAUAAUUCGAGGGUUUCAUCGUCG
Molecule: long non-coding RNA, 1017 nt
Organism: Vespa crabro (European hornet)
Lineage: Eukaryota; Metazoa; Arthropoda; Insecta; Hymenoptera; Vespidae
Exons: 3
Source: RefSeq, a predicted model, not a curated record